AAAUCAUUCAAGGAAUAAGACAUCAUAAGAUCAAACCUAGUUUAAUGAUUUGAAACAAGAGUGAAAAUCCUUGACUAAAGAACACAUUAGUUGGAUAAUUUUCACGGACUAUAAAUCUCACAACACUUGGUGGAGGCAAAUAGCAGUCCGACAGUCUUUGACUCAUCUUCUUCUACUCAAACUCGAAGGUACUGAAUGUUACUGUUGAAACUAGGUAGAGGACACCAUUGUAUCAUGAAAGUUUAUUGCCUUAGUACCAGAAAUUAGAAUCUUCUUUUGCAGAAUACAGGAUCAACAGCAAACUUCAUUUUAUCUGCAAUGCAUCAUGUUCUACAAAAUUCAAUUAUCCAUAAGGAUCUAAUCUUUGAAAAUAUCUAAGAGAACAAGAGUUGUCCGCAGUACAACUCAAAGAAGGGUACAUGACUUGAUAUCCAUUACUUCUUUUAGGAGAACUAAGAAAGUAAAUAUUAUGAAAUUUUCCAAAAGGAGGAGAUAAUUGUUCAUCGCUUCUUGUAAAG
Molecule: long non-coding RNA, 518 nt
Filed under: Nicotiana benthamiana
Lineage: Eukaryota; Viridiplantae; Streptophyta; Magnoliopsida; Solanales; Solanaceae
Description: long non-coding RNA (NBEN_LNC002338)
Source: RNAcentral